UGGGGAAUAUUGGACAAUGGGCGAAAGCCUGAUCCAGCCAUGCCGCGUGUGUGAAGAAGGUCUUCGGAUUGUAAAGCACUUUAAGUUGGGAGGAAGGGCAGUAAGCGAAUACCUUGCUGUUUUGACGUUACCGACAGAAUAAGCACCGGCUAACUCUGUGCCAGCAGCCGCGGUAAUACAGAGGGUGCAAGCGUUAAUCGGAAUUACUGGGCGUAAAGCGCGCGUAGGUGGUUCGUUAAGUUGAAUGUGAAAGCCCCGGGCUCGACCUGGGAACUGCAUCCAAAACUGGCGAGCUAGAGUAGGGCAGAGGGUGGUGGAAUUUCCUGUGUAGCGGUGAAAUGCGUAGAUAUAGGAAGGAACACCAGUGGCGAAGGCGACCACCUGGGCUCAUACUGACACUGAGGUGCGAAAGCGUGGGGAGCAAACAGG
This 429-nucleotide ribosomal RNA is filed under the name Pseudomonadota bacterium. Its description in RNAcentral is "Proteobacteria bacterium partial 16S ribosomal RNA". It matches the Rfam family "Bacterial small subunit ribosomal RNA", at positions 355 to 776 of the family's 1533-position model. Lineage: Bacteria; Pseudomonadati; Pseudomonadota. The record is from RNAcentral.